RNAcentral lists this ribosomal RNA (504 nucleotides) under uncultured bacterium. RNAcentral's name for it is "bacterial SSU rRNA". It matches the Rfam family "Bacterial small subunit ribosomal RNA", at positions 15 to 518 of the family's 1533-position model. The record is from RNAcentral.
GAUCAUGGCUCAGGAUGAACGCUGGCGGCGUGCCUAAUACAUGCAAGUGAAACGGGUAUCUUCGGAUACCAGUCGCGGACGGGUGAGUAAUACAUAGGCAACCUGCCUUUAUGAGGGGGAUAACCGAGGGAAACUUUGGCUAAUACCGCAUGAAGACUCUAAGGCAUCUUAGAGGGAUAAAAGUUGGGAAACAACGCAUGAAGAUGGGCUUAUGGCGCAUUAGCUAGUUGGUGAGAUAGGAGCCCACCAAGGUAAUGAUGCGUAGCCGACCUGAGAGGGUGAACGGCCACAUUGGGACUGAGGCACGGCCCAAACUCCUACGGGAGGCAGCAGUAGGGAAUUUUCGGCAAUGGGGGGAACCCUGACCGAGCAACGCCGCGUGAAGGAAGAAGGUUUUCGGAUUGUAAACUUCUGUUAUAAGGGAAGAACGGAUUGGAUAGGGAAUGAUCUGAUAGUGACGGUACCUUAUUAGAAAGCCACGGCUAACUACGUGCCAGCCGCGGC